RNAcentral lists this ribosomal RNA (301 nucleotides) under uncultured bacterium. RNAcentral describes it as "partial 16S ribosomal RNA". It matches the Rfam family "Bacterial small subunit ribosomal RNA", at positions 509 to 807 of the family's 1533-position model. The record is from RNAcentral.
CAGCCGCCACGGUAAUACGAAGGGUGCAAGCGUUAAUCGGAAUUACUGGGCGUAAAGCGUGCGUAGGUGGUGAGUUAAGUCUGCUGUGAAAUCCCCGGGCUCAACCUGGGAAUGGCAGUGGAUACUGGCUCGCUAGAGUGUGUCAGAGGAUGGUGGAAUUCCCGGUGUAGCGGUGAAAUGCGUAGAGAUCGGGAGGAACAUCAGUGGCGAAGGCGGCCAUCUGGGACAACACUGACGCUGAGGCACGAAAGCGUGGGGAGCAAACAGGAUUAGAUACCCCCGUAGUCCCUGUCUCUUAUAC